RNAcentral lists this ribosomal RNA (239 nucleotides) under uncultured Lactobacillus sp. Its description in RNAcentral is "partial 16S ribosomal RNA". It matches the Rfam family "Bacterial small subunit ribosomal RNA", at positions 125 to 355 of the family's 1533-position model. The record is from RNAcentral. Lineage: Bacteria; Bacillati; Bacillota; Bacilli; Lactobacillales; Lactobacillaceae.
CCGUAGCCCAAGAGAUCGGGAUAACACCUGGAAACAGAUGCUAAUACCGGAUAACAACAGAUGAUGCCUAUCAACUGUUUAAAAGAUGGUUCUGCUAUCACUCUUGGAUGGACCUGCGGUGCAUUAGCUAGUUGGUAGGGUAACGGCCUACCAAGGCGAUGAUGCAUAGCCGAGUUGAGAGAUUGAUCGGCCACAUUGGGACUGAGACACGGCCCAAACUCCUACGGGAGGCAGCAGCU